UAACAAUGAGAACCUGUGUUUAGACUCUUUAAUGCAUUUGGCUCUCUGGCUGCGUUUGUAUGGUAAAAGGCAGUGGAUGUUAUUUAUGUGCUUAGCUGGGACUUAUCCUUUUGAAACAGGUCUAGACAGCUACCUGUUCUAUUUGGCUUAGCCUGUGCUGCAGAAAGUCCCAGUUCUUCCAAAUCAAGGUAAGUGAAACCUGGCAUGGUAAAGAGGGUGCAGAAUGCUCCUAAGAAAAAGGGUUAACAAGACAUCAUCCUUCCACCCCACUCUCCCCAGAGUCUUUCUACCAGGCUUCCAGGUGACAAGCUCUUGGGUUUGACGUGCUGGAGAACUGUUUGGGCCUCCGAGGCCGACACGGUGCUCUCAUUGAAACCAUUGAAAGGAGCUGGCUUCUGAGAGGAGGGGGAGCUACACAGUCCCAUCUCAUUGCAGGGGAAGCAGGGCUUUGAUUUAAGCCACUUUCAUUUACCAACCACAGGCAUCCAUUCCCUCUUCCCUUUCAUUUAGGGAAUUUGGAGAGAAAAUAAAUUGGAGGCUGAUUUUUUUUCUCUUGUUUGUUUUCCCAAAGCUCCAGGAAAUUGAGAAGCAUGUUAUUAGUUUUAGCAAACAAUUUAAACAAAACUAAGACCAGAUCUCCCAGCAAUGGUGAAGGAUCUCAAGGGAGACCUUGGUCACAGUGGGCCUGGCUUCCCUACAGGCACUGCCUGCCAUAGAGGACAAGCCAUCGAAAAGUGAGGGAGAAGAACAAUGACGCUGCCAGUGAUCCUGCCCCCAGCGUGGACCCUGCUGCUCCUUGAGGAAAUACACGGUCCUGGGAGCUCCGCUAGUGGGGUGCGCACCAUCCCACAGUGGUUCUGGUGCCUAAGAUGUACAUUAGUUGGACCACACCAACCAGCCUUGCACGACCGUUCUGAGUAAUUGAGAGGAGGGCCGGGGAUUUAGCUCAGUGGUUUUGCUGCCUGCUGCACAACCGCAAGGACCAGAGUAUCGCCCAGCAGAACUGAAUCAGCGUGGUUGGGUGAGGAAGACCCAUCUGAGGUUUGUAACCAAUAGCCAUAAAAAGAGAACUGGAG
RNAcentral lists this long non-coding RNA (1076 nucleotides) under Heterocephalus glaber (naked mole-rat). Its description in RNAcentral is "lncRNA (ENSHGLG00000049673.1)". The record is from RNAcentral. Lineage: Eukaryota; Metazoa; Chordata; Mammalia; Rodentia; Bathyergidae.